UUAUGCAGAGAAAAACUUCUAAAAUCUCUUUUAUAUUUCAGGCAGCAAAAAGAUGCUAGAAGAUGUUGAAACAGCAAAGCAUACAUAAUGCACACAAGACCAGUUUAAUUUCAGGAAGAGAAGGGAACAAGGGAAGAUGUUUUCAGUGUUCAAAUCUAGCAGAAAAGCAGAAACAUCUACUAUCAAAAAUAUUAGCUGAAAUGAUGGAGAAGCUGUGCCAAACAUGUGGUUUGCUUGCAUCCCAAAAUGUAUAGUGGUUCAGAUCAAUGUUUCAGUUUUUUCACAGCCUUCCACGACAAUGGAAUUAGGUAAUAGGAAGACCAGCAUCUGUCCACACACUGGAGAGAGGGAAACAACCUGUGAAAGAGGAAGACAUACAGGCAUAAACAAGAAAAACAGAAGAAGCGAAAAACAAAGCAGUGUGGAAGACUGAAGAGGAAGACAAAUCAUGAUAGAAACAGACUCCACAUGCAAGAUUGACAGUCAGCAUUUUAUCCAGAGAAAUGUACAUAAUGACCAAGCUUUGAAGUUUGGAGCUGGCCAGUCUGUUCCAACACAGUUAGUUAUAUCCCAUAUUUGCUGACUUCACUGAGUUUUUAACUUUCAUCUAUGGGAGAUGUGGAGAAACUGAGAAGAAACAAUAAGAUGAAAUUUCAUUGUGAUAUUAAUUUUGGCAUGUUUCCUUACUUCAAAGUAUUUUCCACAUGCACAGACUAAAUAAAGUUGCUGGCCAGCAGAAGUUUCCUACCA
RNAcentral lists this long non-coding RNA (750 nucleotides) under Numida meleagris (helmeted guineafowl). RNAcentral's name for it is "lncRNA (ENSNMEG00000017583.1)". The record is from RNAcentral. Lineage: Eukaryota; Metazoa; Chordata; Aves; Galliformes; Numididae.